UACGUAGGGUGCGAGCGUUAAUCGGAAUUACUGGGCGUAAAGGGUGCGCAGGCGGUCCCGCAAGUCAGGCGUGAAAUCCCCGGGCUUAACCUGGGAAUGGCACUUGAAACUACGGGACUGGAGUAUGGCAGAGGGAGGUGGAAUUCCACGUGUAGCGGUGAAAUGCGUAGAGAUCGGGAAGAACAUCGGUGGCGAAGGCGCUCUACUGGACCACAACUGACACUCAGGGACGAAAGCUAGGGGAGCGAAUGGG
This 253-nucleotide ribosomal RNA is filed under the name uncultured bacterium. RNAcentral describes it as "partial 16S ribosomal RNA". It matches the Rfam family "Bacterial small subunit ribosomal RNA", at positions 524 to 776 of the family's 1533-position model. The record is from RNAcentral.